UGCGAACCCUUGAUUCUCACUGUCUGCUCCAAAGCAGCUGCAGCAGAAGCGAGGCCUGGGAAGGGUUAACCCGGCACCCCCCACCCACAUACCCACCCACCUCUCGCCCCCUUUUGGAGGGAGCCGCGGAACCAACCUAGCUCCGGUUUGAAAAGGCACCCGCAAACUGCCUGUGCGCCCAGGGCGCACAGAGGCAGCGCCGGCCGCUGAACUUUGGGCACAGAUUCUCGGCAGCCUCCCGUUUAGAAACCGAGAGCCCACCGGGGGGGUCUUUCUCCUGUCUCUGGCCUCCCCCCCAAAUCCCUUUUGGUACCUCCUCGGUCUGAAAUGCGUCUGUGAGCAGCUGGUUUUGGGAGACCCCCCUCAGCGCCGCUUGCGCGUCUGGCUUGCCACUUCCCCAAGUGCCUCUCCAAAGGCGAACGGUCCCAAGAUGUACCUGACUCUCUUCCUCUCUUGGUGCUGCUGCUGCGGCUGCUUUUGGGGAUGCUCCUUCGGGACGGGAUUUCUUUACCAGUUCCCCGCCUCGACCCUGCAACACAACUACCCCGAGCAGAGCUCCGGAGGACCCGCGGGCAACGGCUUUACGAAUCGGCGGCACUGGUGUCACUACACAGUCACCCGGACAGUUUCCUGCCAGGUGCAGAACGGCUCGGAGACGGUGAUCCAGAGGGUUUAUCAAAGCUGCCGGUGGCCGGGACCGUGCGCCAACUUAGUGAGUUACAGGACCCUCAUCAGACCUACAUAUAAGAUCUCCUACAGAACGGUGACUGCCCUCGAAUGGCGCUGCUGUCCUGGCUUCACUGGAAGCAGCUGCGAAGAAGAAUGUAUGAAUUGCACGAGACUCACGGAUAUGGCUGACAGGCUGAGCACACUUGAAACAAAGAUCCUCUUGCUUGAGGCUGCUGAGCGCGCGCCGCCUUCUGAGAACGACCUGCCAUUGGCGAGGACCACGGCCACCUGGUAUGAUGAACUGCUGCCAGACGCCAUUCCACUCACCAACCCAGGGACCGUCCUCAGGAAGCCGAUGGGAGCUGUAGGGUUACCGGGACCAGCUGGGAAGCCGGGAGCUCAAGGCCCGAAAGGCGAAAAGGGAGAAAUCGGAGACAGGGGACCGGCUGGACCACCCGGGCUUCUUGGACCUCCAGGACCCAGGGGCUAUCCAGGUGAAACAGGAAUCGCAGGUCCACCUGGACCGCCCGGACCCCCAGGAUCGCCAAGCUUCCCCUUAACAUUUCAGCAAGGGGUUCUGUACUCCCUCCAGCCCACAGCUGAAAAAGAGAACGGAGAAGCUCAGCUGGCAUCCACCGUCAUUGAUACUGUCCUGGCUGGUUUACCUGGACCACGGGGUGCUCCUGGCCCUAUUGGACCACCAGGCUCCCCAGGAUCAUCGGGACCCAAGGGGGAACCUGGAUCCGUGGGUGCCCCCGGGCUGCCGGGCAUACCAGGCUCAGCAGGACAGCCUGGAUCAAAAGGUUCCAAAGGAGACCGAGGAGAACGAGGGCAAGCAGGGCUGACUUUCAGAAAGAGGAACAAGGAAGCUCUUCCCUGGUGACCCUGGCAAGAAAGGUGAAGAAGGAGAGAAAGGUGCUGAGGGUGAAGGAGUCCAGCAGCUUCGAGAAGCCCUGAAGAUUUUAGCUGAGAGGGUGUUAAUUUUAGAGCACAUGAUAGGAAUUCAUGGUUUUCCUUUGUUUUCAGAUCCUUUAUCUUCCGUUGAACCAGGCUCAGGACAUGAUGUGAUCCUGGGUGCCCCGCUGCGAGCCAACGCGAAAAUCAAGCGACACCACGCAAACCGGAUCCUCUCUUCGCUGCUGGAUGAUAACGAGACCAAAGGAAGGAGCAACAGAAGUAAAUAGGACAUCAGUCCAACAGCGAAGGAUGAAGAAAUUCCAGAGACCGGGGCACCAUUUGACUCCUGUCGGAAGUCCCUGCAGGUCAGGAUGGAACGCAUGUCGGAAUAGGAUACAUUCCUUGAACUCUCCGUGAGCUUUCAAGUGCAUACCUGACACUUGGUACAAGUCAUAUUUCUGUCCUUGUGUACAUGUCCACCUCAGGUGAUAACAUUCAUGCCCAGAAACCGUACGAUGGCCACCAGUAUCUCAAAGGGUAUCCUGGUGUCUCUUAAAUCAGUGGUUUUUUAAACUUCUGCCCCUCACAGAACUUUUCCCCGCUUGCUGAGAAACUGCCGUGGUGUGCUUUUUGCUGUGUUUCCUGUGGUACCUGGAUGUGUUCUAGAAGAUUCCAGGGAAUGUGCUAGGCUGUGUGAUCCAUUCACACAGAGCAUGGGACAGGUCCAUAGAGGCUCAUCACAGCUGUCUUGGAACACACCCAACUCUCCCCUAUGAGUGCAGAGAGAAAAACAUUGCAGAAAAAAAAUACAUUGUGAUAGGUCAGCUUUCUGUCAGAGAAGCUUGGCCUUCCACUGACCCUUUUCUUGAAUGAGCCCUGAUAAAAUUCUGAGGAACAUCAGGAUUUCUACAAACACUGUUGGAAAACUGAUUUUAAAUUAAUUCUCUUCUCCACCCAUCAACCAAUAUUUAGUGGUCUAAUCGCUGCUUUGGCUGCCUUUUUGUGGCGAAAAAGAAAUGAGGGAUGCUUUUUGAAUUUGAUCCAUUCGAGUAUCACUGCUCCAAUGUUGCUUUCCCCUUGAGUACCUCAAACUAGCCACCCUGUUUUCAGCCCAAUUUUUUCCUCCUUCUUUCAUGCCCUGUCUCCACCAUAAAAUGUGCAUUGUGCACCAUUGUUCGGGCAUCAGUGUAUCACCAUGCUGCAGAUGAAUGACAUGCAUACGUGAACAUGGUGUAAAUGGUAUUAACGUAUGCAGGAGAAACAAAUGAAUCAUCGUUGUGAGCACCGAAAAUAAGUGGACUGUUGUUGUUCGCAAUGACAGUGUGUGGAAACAAAAAGCAUCAGAGAAGGUCAAGUUCAUCUAUCGGUAGUAUGAAUCCUUUAACUAAAUAGUUAAACCAGUAUCCAAUCUGCCAGAUAACCAGCAUUAGUGCCUCUGAAAUAUCAGUAAAAUCCUCAUUCCUCUAGUCUCCACCUUAGCUG
Sphaerodactylus townsendi is the source of this 3048-nucleotide RNA transcript. It is a transcript of the gene named collagen type XXVI alpha 1 chain, with no coding region annotated. The record is from RefSeq and is a predicted model, not a curated record. The transcript is spliced from 16 exons. NCBI's taxonomy places the organism in Eukaryota, Metazoa, Chordata, Lepidosauria, Squamata, Sphaerodactylidae.